RNAcentral lists this ribosomal RNA (468 nucleotides) under uncultured bacterium. RNAcentral's name for it is "partial 16S ribosomal RNA". It matches the Rfam family "Bacterial small subunit ribosomal RNA", at positions 28 to 507 of the family's 1533-position model. The record is from RNAcentral.
GACGAACGCUGGCGGCGUGCUUAACACAUGCCAGUCGAACGGAAAGGCCCUGCUUUUGUGGGGUGCUCGAGUGGCGAACGGGUGUGUAUCACGUGAGUAACCUGCCCUUUACUUUGGGAUAACUUCAGGAAACUGGGGCUAAUACCGGAUAUGAGCUCCUUCUGCAUGGUGUGGGUUGGAAAGUUUCGGCGGUUGGGGAUGGACUCGCGGCUUAUCAGCUUGUUGGUGGGGUAGUGGCUUACCAAGGCUUUGACGGGUAGCUGGCCUGAGAGGGUGACCGGCCACAAUGGGACUGAGAAACGGGCAAGACUGCUACGGGAGGCAGCAGUGGGAAAUAGUGCAAAAUGGGCGGAAGCCUGAUGCAGCAACGCCGCGUGCGGGAUGACGGCCUGCGGGUUGUAAACCGCUUUCGCCUGUGAAGAAGAGUGAGUGACGGUAAUGGGUAAAGAAGCACCGGCUAACUACGUG